This 393-nucleotide ribosomal RNA is filed under the name uncultured bacterium. RNAcentral describes it as "partial 16S ribosomal RNA". It matches the Rfam family "Bacterial small subunit ribosomal RNA", at positions 523 to 916 of the family's 1533-position model. The record is from RNAcentral.
AUACGUAGGGGGCGAGCGUUGUCCGGAAUGAUUGGGCGUAAAGGGCGCGUAGGCGGCCUGUUAAGUCUGGAGUGAAAGUCCUGUUUUCAAGAUGGGAAUUGCUUUGGAUACUGAUGGGCUUGAGUGCAGGAGAGGUUAUCGGAAUUCCCGGUGUAGCGGUGAAAUGCGUAGAGAUCGGGAGGAACACCAGUGGCGAAGGCGGGUAACUGGACUGCAACUGACGCUGAGGCGCGAAAGUGUGGAGCAAACAGGAUUAGAUACCCUGGUAGUCCACACUGUAAACGAUGAAUGCUAGGUGUAAGAGGUAUCGACCCCUUUUGUGCCGGAGUUAACACAAUAAGCAUUCCGCCUGGGGAGUACGGCCGCAAGGUUGAAACUCAAAUGAAUUGACGG